Molecule: ribosomal RNA, 458 nt
Filed under: uncultured bacterium
Lineage: Bacteria
Description: bacterial SSU rRNA
Rfam family: Bacterial small subunit ribosomal RNA
Source: RNAcentral
ACUCCUACGGGAGGCAGCAGUGGGGAAUAUUGCACAAUGGGCGCAAGCCUGAUGCAGCCAUGCCGCGUGUGUGAAGAAGGCCUUCGGGUUGUAAAGCACUUUCAGUUGUGAGGAAGGUGGUGUCGUUAAUAGCGGCAUCAUUUGACGUUAGCAACAGAAGAAGCACCGGCUAACUCCGUGCCAGCAGCCGCGGUAAUACGGAGGGUGCGAGCGUUAAUCGGAAUUACUGGGCGUAAAGCGCAUGCAGGUGGUUUGUUAAGUCAGAUGUGAAAGCCCGGGGCUCAACCUCGGAACUGCAUUUGAAACUGGCAGACUAGAGUACUGUAGAGGGGGGUAGAAUUUCAGGUGUAGCGGUGAAAUGCGUAGAGAUCUGAAGGAAUACCGGUGGCGAAGGCGGCCCCCUGGGACAGAUACUGACACUCAGAUGCGAAAGCGUGGGGAGCAAACAGGAUUAGAUA